UCCCUGGUGGUCGAGUGGUUAAGACUCCCUGCUUCCAAUGCAGAGGGUGCAAGUUUGGUCCCUGUUUGGGGAG
Non-coding RNA from Ovis aries (sheep), 73 nucleotides. NCBI's taxonomy places the organism in Eukaryota, Metazoa, Chordata, Mammalia, Artiodactyla, Bovidae. The record is from Rfam.